Non-coding RNA from Oryza glaberrima (African rice), 139 nucleotides. The record is from Rfam. NCBI's taxonomy places the organism in Eukaryota, Viridiplantae, Streptophyta, Magnoliopsida, Poales, Poaceae.
UCCAUGGAUAGCGAUGAACUGAUCGCAUAUAUCCUCAAUGGACUGGAUGAAGACUUUGAUCCAGUCGUCUCUGCGCUGGUGGCCAAAACUGAAUCGGUCACAGUAGCAGAGGCUGUCUCGCAGCUCCUGAGCUUCGAGA